This 544-nucleotide ribosomal RNA is filed under the name uncultured archaeon. RNAcentral's name for it is "bacterial SSU rRNA". It matches the Rfam family "Archaeal small subunit ribosomal RNA", at positions 284 to 832 of the family's 1478-position model. The record is from RNAcentral.
AAGAGCCCGGACCAUGAUCCGAGACACGCACCAGGCCCUCCGGGUGCAACAGACGCGAACAGUUCCAAUGCGGGCACCCGUGAGAAGGAAUCUAGAGUGCCCGGAUAUCAGCUGGCCGUCCCAGAUGCCUACAAAGCAUCUGUUAGCCAGGGCCGGGCAAGACCGAUGCCAGCCGCCGCCGGUAACACCGACGGCCCGAGUGGUAACCGCUAUUAUUGGGUCUAAAGGGUCCGUAGCCGGCCAGGUAAGUCCCUUGGGAAAUCUGGCAGCUCAACUGUCAGGCUGCUAGGGGAUACUGUUUGGCUUGGGACCGGGAGAGCUGAGAGGUACCUUGGGGGUAGGGGUGAAAUCUUGUGAUCCUCGGGGGACCACCAGUGGCGAAGGCGUCUCACCAGAACGGGUCCGACGGUAAGGGACGAAAGCUAGGGGCACGAACCGGAUUAGAUACCCGGGUAGUCCUAGCCGUAAACGAUGCUCGCUAGGUGUCAGUCACGGUGCGACCGUGAUUGGUGCCGUAGGGAAGCCGUGAAGCGAGCCACCUGGG